GCCUGGGUGGCUCAGUCUGUUGAGUGUCUGACUUCGGCUCAGGUCAUGAUCUCGCGGUCUGUGGGUUCAAGCCCCGUGUCGGGCU
RNAcentral lists this transfer RNA (85 nucleotides) under Felis catus (domestic cat). It matches the Rfam family "tRNA". Rfam says of the family: Transfer RNA (tRNA) molecules are approximately 80 nucleotides in length. Their secondary structure includes four short double-helical elements and three loops (D, anti-codon, and T loops). The record is from Rfam by way of RNAcentral. Lineage: Eukaryota; Metazoa; Chordata; Mammalia; Carnivora; Felidae.